Molecule: unclassified non-coding RNA, 253 nt
Filed under: Hevea brasiliensis (rubber tree)
Lineage: Eukaryota; Viridiplantae; Streptophyta; Magnoliopsida; Malpighiales; Euphorbiaceae
Source: RNAcentral
AGAGAAAACUAAUUAGUCCUGAAGACAUAAAGCAAGCAUUGUUUAGAACUGCGGGUUAUGGAGGAAGAUGUCUUUAGAAGGAAUUUGGCCACUUGACAGAGCCUGAAAGAGAUGGGAACUUAGCUAAGUUUGAUCUGCAAGGAAUUUAAUUUGCAAGUGAGAAGUUGUAAUAAAUGUAUUUUAAUAAGUGUAUGUUCAUUUAUAAUCUCCUUCUCACAACUUAGCCCAUCAUAGAGGGCAUUAAAUUAUAUAU